GGUGGAGUCGCUAGUAAUCGCGGAUCAGCAACGCCGCGGUGAAUGCGUUCCCGGGCCUUGUACACACCGCCCGUCAAGUCAUGAAAGUGGGCAGCACCCGAAGACGGUGGCCUAACCCUUGUGGGGGGAGCCGUCUAAGGUGAGGCUCGUGAUUGGGACUAAGUCGUAACAAGGUACC
Molecule: ribosomal RNA, 178 nt
Filed under: uncultured bacterium
Lineage: Bacteria
Description: partial 16S ribosomal RNA
Rfam family: Bacterial small subunit ribosomal RNA
Source: RNAcentral